RNAcentral lists this transfer RNA (73 nucleotides) under Paramuricea clavata. It matches the Rfam family "tRNA". From Rfam's summary of the family: Transfer RNA (tRNA) molecules are approximately 80 nucleotides in length. Their secondary structure includes four short double-helical elements and three loops (D, anti-codon, and T loops). Further hydrogen bonds mediate the characteristic L-shaped molecular structure. tRNAs have two regions of fundamental functional importance: the anti-codon, which is responsible for specific mRNA codon recognition, and the 3' end, to which the tRNAs corresponding amino acid is attached (by aminoacyl-tRNA synthetases). tRNAs cope with the degeneracy of the genetic code in two manners: having more than one tRNA (with a specific anti-codon) for a particular amino acid; and 'wobble' base-pairing, i.e. permitting non-standard base-pairing at the 3rd anti-codon position. Lineage: Eukaryota; Metazoa; Cnidaria; Anthozoa; Malacalcyonacea; Plexauridae. The record is from Rfam by way of RNAcentral.
GACCGCGUAGCUCAAUUGGCAGAGUAUUGGGCUAGUAUUCCAAAGGUCGUGGGUUCGAUUCCCACCGUGGCCG